RNAcentral lists this long non-coding RNA (869 nucleotides) under Triticum aestivum (bread wheat). RNAcentral describes it as "long non-coding RNA (TAES_LNC018897)". The record is from RNAcentral. Lineage: Eukaryota; Viridiplantae; Streptophyta; Magnoliopsida; Poales; Poaceae.
CAUUUGCAUAAAUUCGACCAAAGAAAAAGAUCUUUUGAAUAAUAUUACAUUUUUCAAUCUAUCAGUGUAAACUACAACUAUUGGGAAGUAAAAUCUUCAAAUUUUAUUUGCUUCCUGUUCCAACCGAAGUACUCAGUUGCAAGUCAAUUAUCCUUGUUUCAAAUCUGUAAAAGAAAAUUGGACCCUAUAGUUAUGUAAUUAAAUAUACACAAAUAUGAUCUCGGAAUAUGGAAGAAAAGACUUCAACUUACAAAAGUUGAAGGCCAAGCAAUUAAGUAUCCUGAAGAGAAAGCUUCACCAAUUGUCCUGCAACCAGAAACUUCCCUUACUAACUCCUCAUUAUCAAGAAUAGGUUCAUCUAUCCGCACAUGGAUAAAUUUAGAAACUAACUCAAUACCACCAGCCUUAGUAGCUGGAUCAAUAGUCAGAAAAGUACCAUACAACGUUUUGCUUGUUGGGAUAUGAUGAAGUCUUUAAAACUACUUUAAAAGCUAUGAUCAUUAUUAGCAUUCAACAGCAAUAAUAAUAUAAUUUGCAUGAACAAUAUGAUCUCUAUUUUAAUGGCAUCCUAAAGUAAAUGACCCCAUAAAAACUAAAUAAACUGGACUAGCCAUCAAAGUCUAAUGCCCAAGGACAACUCACUUGCUCACGCUUGGUUGAAGUUAUCCUUUACUUGUAGAUUUGUAACAGAAGUCAGUUUUCAAGGAGGCAUGUUAGAUUGGUUUGGGUCGGGAAUUUGAGUACAGUAAACCCAUGCCCCUUGCCGGAUCUUUACCUUGAUUGAAGAAGUACGCCUUUUUUUAGCGAACUGGAUGUGGGCGUUCAGUUCUAGUCCCCUGCUUGUCUAGUCUUGAAAAAUAUUCAACUGC